This 782-nucleotide ribosomal RNA is filed under the name Trichodectes canis. RNAcentral's name for it is "12S ribosomal RNA". The record is from RNAcentral. Lineage: Eukaryota; Metazoa; Arthropoda; Insecta; Psocodea; Trichodectidae.
UAAAAUAUUUAAAAUAAUAUUCUAGUUGAUAGUGGGAAUAGAAUAAGUUAUUUAUAAAAUCAGUCAUACAGAAUUACUUCUAAAACACUCAUAUGUAGACUUUAAUUAUUUUAGAAUACAGAAAUAGUUGAUAGAAUUAUUGAAAUAAUCCCUUGAAAUUGAAGUGCCAGCACUAGCGGUCAAACUUCUGAGGAUAAAUUAUCUAAUCAAACACUUUAGAUUUACACACUAAUUCGAAAUUUCUUGUUUAUUAAAGGUAAAAUUUAUAAAAUAAGUAAAGAAAUAACAGAUAAAAUUUAAAUACUUGAAAUAAAAGACUAGGAUUAGAUACCCUAUUAUUUUCAAUAACUUUAGAAUUACUUUUGUUAGUAGGAAAGUAAAAUAUAUAUGGCGGUUGGAAUGACCUAUUAGAGACGUAUGACUUUUAAAAGAUUUUACACUUAAAUCUUUCUACUUCGAAUAUCUCUUAAACACCUCCGUCUUAACGAUUCAUCCAUUAGGAUGAAAAUUUCUCUACUUGGGGUAAUUGGGUAAAUUUCUAAACAAAUAUAUCAUUAAUAUCCUUAGAAUAAGUCAGGUAAAGGUUUAGAGUGUGAUGUAGUUGCUUGUUGUAUGUCAAUUUUAGAAAAAAGGAUAGAUUGUAAUAUCAAAUCCGAAGAGAAUUUAAAAGUAAUUUAGCUUAAUUAGGGGUUUUGUGAAAGCCGGGAACUUCCAAUACACAAAUUGCCCGUCACCCAGACCAAAAAGGUCUGGUAAGUCGUAACAAAGUUAGUCUACCGGAA